This 293-nucleotide ribosomal RNA is filed under the name uncultured bacterium. Its description in RNAcentral is "partial 16S ribosomal RNA". It matches the Rfam family "Bacterial small subunit ribosomal RNA", at positions 505 to 796 of the family's 1533-position model. The record is from RNAcentral.
GUGUCAGCAGCCGCGGUAAGACGUAGGGGGCAAGCGUUGUCCGGAUUUAUUGGGCGUAAAGAGCUCGUAGGCGGCUCAGAAAGUCGGGUGUGAAACCUCCAGGCUCAACCUGGAGACGCCACCUGAUACUGCUGUGGCUAGAGUCCGGUAGGGGAGCACGGAAUUCCCGGUGUAGCGGUGAAAUGCUUAGAUAUCGGGAGGAACACCAGUGGCGAAGGCGGUGCUCUGGGCCGGAACUGACGCUGAGGAGCGAAAGCGUGGGUAGCAAACAGGAUUAGAAACCCUCGUAGUCC